Molecule: microRNA precursor, 55 nt
Organism: Loxodonta africana (African savanna elephant)
Lineage: Eukaryota; Metazoa; Chordata; Mammalia; Proboscidea; Elephantidae
Rfam family: mir-1302 microRNA precursor family
Source: Rfam
UUUUUAGUACAAGUAUGUCUCAUGCAAUAUUUGGGACAUACUUAUUAUACUAAAA